UCCCUGGUAGCCUAGUGGCUAAGGCUCUGCACUCCCCAUGCAGGGGGCCCAGGUUCUAUCCCUGGUUGGGGUA
RNAcentral lists this transfer RNA (73 nucleotides) under Bos taurus (domestic cattle). It matches the Rfam family "tRNA". From Rfam's summary of the family: Transfer RNA (tRNA) molecules are approximately 80 nucleotides in length. Lineage: Eukaryota; Metazoa; Chordata; Mammalia; Artiodactyla; Bovidae. RNAcentral also lists the same sequence under 3 other names. The record is from Rfam by way of RNAcentral.